Molecule: ribosomal RNA, 700 nt
Filed under: uncultured bacterium
Lineage: Bacteria
Description: bacterial SSU rRNA
Rfam family: Bacterial small subunit ribosomal RNA
Source: RNAcentral
AGAGUUUGAUCAUGGCUCAGGACGAACGCUGGCGGCGUGCUUAACACAUGCAAGUCGCACGGGAGCAGCAAUGCUCUAGUGGCGAACGGGUGCGUAACACGUGAGAAAUCUGUCCAUCGGCGGGGGAUAGCCGGCCCAACGGCCGGGUAAUACCGCGUACGUCGGCGAGAACGCAUGUUCUUGCCGGGAAAGCAGCAAUGCACCGAUGGAGGAUCUCGCGGCCUAUCAGCUUGUUGGCGGGGUAAUGGCCCACCAAGGCAACGACGGGUAGCUGGUCUGAGAGGAUGAUCAGCCACAUUGGGACUGAGACACGGCCCAGACUCCUACGGGAGGCAGCAGUGGGGAAUAUUGCGCAAUGGGCGAAAGCCUGACGCAGCGACGCCGCGUGUGGGAUGAAGGCCUUCGGGUUGUAAACCACUGUCGGGGGGGACGAGAUCAAUGACGGUACCCCCAAAGGAAGCACCGGCUAACUCUGUGCCAGCAGCCGCGGUAAUACAGAGGGUGCGAGCGUUGUCCGGAAUUACUGGGCGUAAAGGGCGCGUAGGCGGCUUGAUAAGUAGGGGGUGAAAUUCCAUGGCUCAACCAUGGAUCGGCCUUCUAGACUGUCAGGCUUGAGCACGGUAGAGGCAGAUGGAAUUCCCGGUGUAGCGGUGGAAUGCGUAGAGAUCGGGAAGAACACCAGUGGCGAAGGCGGUCUGCU